AGCAGCCGCGGUAAUUCCAGCUCCAAUAGCGUAUAUUAAAGUUGCUGCAGUUAAAAAGCUCGUAGUUGAAUUUCGGGACCAUCAUGUCGGUCGUGCCUCGGUACGUACUGGCAUUGUUGGUUUCUCCCUUCUGACGAACCAUGAUGUCAUUUAUUUGGUGUCGUGGGAAAUCAGGACUGUUACUUUGAAAAAAUUAGAGUGUUUAAAGCAGGCUCACGCUUGAAUACAUUAGCAUGGAAUAAUGAAAUAGGACGUUUGAUUCUAUUUUGUUGGUUUCUAGGAUCGACGUAAUGAUUAAUAGGGAUAGUUGGGGGCAUUAGUAUUCAAUUGUCAGAGGUGAAAUUCUUGGAUUUAUUGAAGACUAACUACUGCGAAAGCACUUGCCAAGGAUGUUUUCAUUAAUCAAGAACGAAAGUUAGGGGAUCGAAGACGAUCAGAUACCGUCGUAGUCUUAACCAUAAACUAUGCCGACUAGGGAUCGGAUGAUGUUAAUUUUUUAAUGACUCAUUCGGCGCCUUAC
RNAcentral lists this unclassified non-coding RNA (520 nucleotides) under uncultured Glomus. RNAcentral's name for it is "SSU rRNA". It matches the Rfam family "Eukaryotic small subunit ribosomal RNA", at positions 569 to 1091 of the family's 1831-position model. The record is from RNAcentral. Lineage: Eukaryota; Fungi; Glomeromycota; Glomeromycetes; Glomerales; Glomeraceae.